CCGGUUCACCCUCUGAGUCAGGCCCUUGCCGAACACUUAACACUGGCCAUCGCAGUUAAAUGAACCAGAACAAAUCUCAUCUACUCCCCACUACAUGUCUUUUUCUCAGGCAAGGUCUUCUCUGCUCCAUGCGCAGUGAACCAGAAACGGCCUGGAAGCUCCCAGAGAAGUGCUAAGGAGCCUUGUAGCAGUGAGAGACCUUUAGCACAAGACAGGAGGAGGCCAAAUGAGCAGCGCAGAGCGCAGCAGGGAAAAGACGGUCUGCCCAAUCUGUCCCCUCAGGCCCAGGGGCUGACACGAUAC
Molecule: long non-coding RNA, 303 nt
Filed under: Salmo salar (Atlantic salmon)
Lineage: Eukaryota; Metazoa; Chordata; Actinopteri; Salmoniformes; Salmonidae
Description: lncRNA (ENSSSAG00000107256.1)
Source: RNAcentral